CUCCCCCUCUUCUCGUGCUCACUACUUCUGAUGCUAAGUUGAUGAAUAUGUGAUGCACUUGUGCCAAGGAAUUUUAGAGGGAUCUGUAUGAACAAGUCAUGUUUUUAUUUUAUUUUAUUUAGGUCGUUAGUUACAAAACAGAGAGAGAAGAUGAGCUCCUGCUUGAUUUUUUUUCUGCCAGCACAUGAUUUGUAUGUAUGCAAUCACCAUCUUGCGUGUGUGAGCUGAUUCCUUGCUUGGGCCAAGUGUUAGUGUCGAUUUGUUGUGGUGGUGCUCGUCUAGCCAUUGAUUUGUUGCUGAUAAUUAGGUGCUAAAGAAUGCUGCAGGUUUAUUAGGAUGUGGCUGAAACCAUUGGAUGUCCUUCGUGGACUUGCUAUCAAUACUUGUCUCAUGUUUUGUUUCCUUUCUGGACAUGUUACGGUUCAAGUGUUGUUGCUGUUUAGUACUAAGUGCUUAACUUAACUAAGCUUGAGCUACUAAAACCCACUCUCAAAUUAAUGAAACUCCUGUUUUGCGAAACUUCAAUGUUGAGCUCCUCUCCUCGUUAAGCUGUGGCCGUCGACUUUCAUUUCGUCCACCACCACUCCAGCUACCUUCUUGUGUAAUCAAAUUUUGCUCGCUUAUGUAUGUAUGUAUGAGGCUGGGUAGUUCAACUCUAGUUUUCUUUCUAACUAAUUCAUAUAUAUGGUGGAAAUUGUGCAGGUUCCAUGGUGCCAAGUGGCCUCUGGCCAUCUUGAACUGGAAUUCCAGUAACAAGUAGAUGUUGCUGCUGUACUCAAUAUUUGAAGUUGCUUUUUUCUUUCUUGAGAGAAGUGUAUUAGGUUGAUGAGAUUAAUUAGCUCAGUUGGCUAAAGUAGCAACAACAACAGCCACACUUUGCCAUCCACUUUAUAGCUGGACUGUACUUACAUGCUUAGUAUAACCUUGAGCAAUGUUGCUGAUGGCGACGGGUACGUGAUGGUGGCUAGUGUGGUGGACGACCCGACCAAACCAAUGAUGCAAGGCUUCUCCUGCUGCUGCAUGUCUUCAUCAACUUAGUUCUUCCACAGGGAGAGAUAAAUUCUUCACUUGUUCACAGUGUAAUCUGCAGAUUACUUCCAUUAAUCACCUAGUGCUCCUGUUAGUGAGAUUCAUCUAGUAUUUCUUUUUGCAAAGCAUGCAAUGGUCUGGAGUACUUGAUCAUGGCCCGAUGGAGCAUGUCGCUACAGCAGCUAGAAGCAAUCCAUUUUAUUAAAUGCAUUCUGGUUAGGAUUUGGUCAUGGCAGCACCUUGCUAUUUUCUUUUCUUUAAAUAUGGUUGCAAGUUUACUAUUUUUCCAGAACCAUCAUCUUACAUUUUGGGCAUCGGGCAUUGAAAUUUAGGCAUUUAUGUAUAGUUUUAGUUCUGGAUGUGUCCUAUGCAAACAUUACUAUCAAUUGUCAAGUUGAUUCUAAAAUGUCUCAUUAACUAAAUUUUAGAUGGUGAUUUCUAGAUUUAGUACCAAUUUAUUGUUGGCCUGGCCUAUGCUCAGUACCUUGCUCUAUACCAAUUUAUUGCAUUAUUCUGUUAUUUACGGUUAAAUAUGCUAUCAUUAACUCUGAGAAAAUGUUAUGUUUUUGCUGAUUAGUGGCAGUACAUCUUUGCUUUACUAUUCCUAGCAGCCAGUGGCGGAGCCAAGGGGGGGCGAGCAGGGGCCUGCCCCCCCCUAACGAUCGACAAUUUAUUCAGAGGCUACGAGUAAUUAGCUACUGGACUGAGAAAUAUACGUACUAUGGCCCCCCCCUCAACCCAAACGAAGGCUAUGAAGAAAUCUGGGAAAAAGGCCCAUAAAAAAGCCCACUCGUGGCCAUAGACUCUAGUACUUGGCCCCUGGCGUUAAGCCAACCCCCCAGCGUGAUUAACCUGAAGCGAUUAGCUUUGCCGGCGGCCGCUGCCUCGUACCCUCACUACUCACGGAGUCAAUUAAAAUCAGGCGACACAGGCUUCUGAACUGGCAAAUCAUACGGAUACCUCUCAACUCUGUGAAUUCUCUAGCUGUUCAGGCACAAGGUUAGCACUAUUGAGAACUACUGUAUCUACUAAUCCCUCUCAACUCUAAUCUUAUACAUGUUGAAGUUGUCAUUUGAUGCUAAUAAAUUUUAUUUUAUUUUCAUUGUUUGAUUUGUGAUGCGGUCAUGAAGAGAAAAGGGCUGCAAACACCAUAAAGAUUAAUUCUCUUUUAAAGUAUGUUGUUUCGAGUUCUCCACCUAGUAAUGUUGUUAAUGUGGCUAAUGUGCAAUUUUUACCAAUCCCAGUUCAGUGGCAAUGACUUGCUUGGCUAAUCUAUAUUGAUAGGAAAUUGCUAGCAACUAGGUUAACUACUCAUGAAAUCAUCAAUAUUUUUGAUCUUAUUGACAACUGUAGGGGCAAAUAUAAACCAAUACAAAUGUAAAUAUAUUUUAAUCAGUUUUGCUAAAGUACAUCUAGAUGUGUCCUAAGUAUUAAAAUCUAGGUCCUAUGACAUUGAUUAUUUUUUAUGCAAAGAUUAGUGCGAAUAUUUCUUUUUUCCUUUUUGUGCAAUAACUAAGCCAUAUAUUGAUAUGCCAUAGACAGACCCUAUUUUAGUUGUGUUGAAGCAACACAAUAAUAUAGUAUUAUGGUACUUAUUUUUCUGCAGUGAGCAUUUUUCUUUAAUGAACAUGACUUGGCCCCCCCUAUAUCCAAAUCCUGGCUCCGCCCCUGCUAGCAGCUACAGUUCAUCUACCAUAAACAUGUUGUGUACAUUCUGAACCCCCAAACAUGACACAAGUGAUAUGUAUAUGCAGUAGGGAAUCGUCAACUUGUACAGUUUGUUUAUUGGAAUGUAACUUGUACAAUUUUUACUUGAA
This is a long non-coding RNA of Triticum dicoccoides, 2846 nucleotides long. RefSeq lists it as uncharacterized. The transcript is spliced from 2 exons. The record is from RefSeq and is a predicted model, not a curated record. Lineage: Eukaryota; Viridiplantae; Streptophyta; Magnoliopsida; Poales; Poaceae.